UCUGACCUCGAAUCAGGUG
RNAcentral lists this ribosomal RNA (19 nucleotides) under Sistotrema chloroporum. Its description in RNAcentral is "partial 28S ribosomal RNA". Lineage: Eukaryota; Fungi; Basidiomycota; Agaricomycetes; Cantharellales; Hydnaceae. The record is from RNAcentral.